This 494-nucleotide ribosomal RNA is filed under the name uncultured bacterium. RNAcentral describes it as "partial 16S ribosomal RNA". It matches the Rfam family "Bacterial small subunit ribosomal RNA", at positions 28 to 507 of the family's 1533-position model. The record is from RNAcentral.
GACGAACGCUGGCGGCGUGCUUAACACAUGCAAGUCGAACGGUGAAGCGCCUUCCUUUUUGGUGGGUGUGGAUGAGUGGCGAACGGGUGAGUAACACGUGAGUAACCUGCCCCCUUCUUCUGGAUAACCGCAUGAAAGUGUGGCUAAUACGGGAUAUUCUGGGUCUGUCGCAUGAUGGGUCUGGGAAAGAUAUUGUUUCGGUGGGGGAUGGGCUCGCGGCCUAUCAGCUUGUUGGUGGGGUGAUGGCCUACCAAGGCGGUGACGGGUAGCCGGCCUGAGAGGGUGGACGGUCACACUGGGACUGAGACACGGCCCAGACUCCUACUGGAGGCAGCAGUGUGGAAUAUUGCACAAUGGGCGCAAGCCUGAUGCAGCGACGCCGCGUGAGGGAUGGAGGCCUUCGGGUUGUGAACCUCUUUCGCCAGUGAAGCAGGCCUGCCUCGUUUGUGGGUGGGUUGACGGUAGCUGGAUAAGAAGCGCCGGCUAACUACGUG